This 450-nucleotide ribosomal RNA is filed under the name uncultured bacterium. Its description in RNAcentral is "bacterial SSU rRNA". It matches the Rfam family "Bacterial small subunit ribosomal RNA", at positions 328 to 792 of the family's 1533-position model. The record is from RNAcentral.
UGUCCAGACUCCUACGGGAGGCAGCAGUGAGGGAUAUUGGACAAUGGGGGAAACCCUGAUCCAGCGACGCCGCGUGAGUGAAGAAGUAUUUCGGUAUGUAAAGCUCUGUCAGCAGGGAAGAAAGAAAUGACGGUACCUGACUAAGAAGCACCGGCUAAAUACGUGCCAGCAGCCGCGGUAAUACGUAUGGUGCAAGCGUUAUCCGGAUUUACUGGGUGUAAAGGGAGCGUAGACGGCCAUGCAAGCCUGGAGUGAAAGCCCGGGGCCCAACCCCGGGACUGCUCUGGGAACUGUGCGGCUGGAGUGCGGGAGGGGCAGGCGGAAUUCCUGGUGUAGCGGUGAAAUGCGUAGAUAUCAGGAGGAACACCGGCGGCGAAGGCGGCCUGCUGGACCGCGACUGACGUUGAGGCUCGAAAGCGUGGGGAGCAAACAGGAUUAGAUACCCCUGUA